This is a long non-coding RNA of Brassica napus (rape), 2106 nucleotides long. RefSeq lists it as uncharacterized. Lineage: Eukaryota; Viridiplantae; Streptophyta; Magnoliopsida; Brassicales; Brassicaceae. The record is from RefSeq and is a predicted model, not a curated record. The transcript has 2 exons.
AGAGAAGCUUUAAAACUUAGGCCAAACCAAAUGCUCAUUGUGUUAUGAAUAGAGAAUCCUAGAUAUAAUUGUUCCCAAGACUUUACUUAUUUUUUAAGUUAGACUUUAUCUCCAAAUUAUUGUAUUCAUAUACAAAGGAAUCAUUACUUAUAGAUUAAAACACAACGAUGCAUUUUUCUAUUCUUCUUAAUUUUUAUUUUUUUACUGUUAUAGACAUAAAAAAAAGUCAAUGGUAUACGAUGGUUUCCCUUGGACCGGGAGUCCGGGACUGUUGUGUGUCAAUCCCAAAGAGCACGCCCAAAUCAUGAUGUUCUUUCACAAAAUUAAAAUGAAAUGAAUUUAAUAAUCAGUGAUUUUUAUGCAAUAUUAAUCGUAUGUAUUGGUUAUUUAGGAAAAUAUAGUCUGUUGUUCUUUUCACACAAACAUAUUAUCAAAAAUAAAGUAUAAUUAAUAUUCACAACAAAAGAGAUGAACUUGUAUAAUUUAUUCAUGAAAAUAAAACUCGUAAUACAUAAUAUGUCUCUCCUAGCUAACUGCAAAUGCAAAUAUAUGUGAUGGUCGAAAAACUCAAAUUCGGUAUAUUAAAUCUUACAUAUAUAGUUUGAGGUUAGAAUCCAAACACAUGUAUAAAUUGCCCUGAAAAAUGGUCAAAAGUAUUACUUAUAUGAUAUGUGAUCUUCCAAAUUAUGUUUAAGAUAUUGUCUUUUCUAAUAGCUAAUGACUUCGAGGAAAAAAUGAUGUUACCUUUUAUAUAUUGUCUUGUCUGCCUCCCUUGAAUUAAACAUUAUAAUUAAAAAUUCCUUAUGACAAAGCAUGCUUUUCUUUUGUUUUGGACAAAGCAUGAUUUUGUUAUUUUCCUUUUUCGGCGGCUUGUAUCCCUCUCUCUAUAUGUAUUAUGUAUAUUCUCGAUCCAACGUGUCAUAAGCACAGAAAAAUUUACAACUACAUUGUUGGUUCUUUAAGCCAUGCAUCUUUUAUCUUUCACACUCAUUUACAUACAUAAUAUUAUCUGGGUUUCGCUCUCUCAAGCUUCUUGCAAGUUGUUUCUCAUCAACAACAAUUGAAAUGUGAGAUCCAUCUGACAACUCGAAGAAUCAAAACCAGCAUGAGCAUUUGCAUGCUCUUCUCCCAUAUCGACAACCCUUUCCGAAUCAUUGUCCAGCAGAUUCAUUCCCUGAUGCACUUGAUAAUCAGUGUUUCUUGCGUCCAUCUUGUUGUUAUUUUGAUGAGCAGAAGCAGAAGCUGCGGCUGCAACUUCCUCGCUUAGCUGUGAAGCAACGAACUUAUCAAGAACUCUCCAAUCCGUACUCACUUGGUCACCUUGAUCGUAACAAACAGAUCUAAAACUUUGACUCCCUUGUUGCAGGUGUUCCUCAUGAGUGAGAUUUGAUGAUUGCUGCAAGUCACCAAUAUUUCUUGUGUUAUUACCAUUGUUGCUUGAUCCAUAAGGUAGCGAGUUGCAAUUACUGUUAGGGCUCUCAAGCUGAGGAAGCUGGAGGAAAAUAGAUUCAUGAAGAUGAUGAUUUUGUUGUUCAUGUUGUACCAUGUGAUUGUAAUGUAGCUCCAGCUCUUGCUUGCACUGCAAGUUAGGGUUGUUGUUGAGUGUAUAAGCUGAAGACGCAUCGAGGCCAUAAGGCAAUGUCUGCUGGUGAUUGUGUUGGUUAUAAUGAUGAUGAUUGUGAAGAGUCCGACUUGGGGGAUUGGAAUCGAGCUCGGAGGCCAUGAAAGAGAGCUGGUCGUCGAACCAAUGAGAAGGCGAAGAAUCGUAAUCGCCCAUUUUCCUCAUUGUUGACGCCAAUCUCUUCUUGAAAACCCUACACACCGCCCAGCCUUCUUCCUGCACAUAAAUAUCACAUGUACAUCUCCUCAAAUAUAGUCACUUGUUCAUAUAUGAUUAGAUAUUUUUCCGGAAAGUUAACAAUGCCAUGUUAAUUGUAGUGAAAAAUGAAAUAUGAAUUUGGAUGUGGUGACAAAUUUAGUAAAAAUUUAAUAUGUAAGUUAUGUGUAUGAUUGUAAACUUUAGUACACUUUGGAUCAAAGAGGGAACAUUAAUGGUUCUCAUUUGUUAUAACAUAUAUAUGUAAGAUAUGUACUUUUAUGAAAGUU